UGGGGAAUCUUGCACAAUGGGGGAAACCCUGAUGCAGCGACGCCGCGUGAGCGAUGAAGCCCUUCGGGGUGUAAAGCUCUUUCGGCAGGGAAGAUAAUGACGGUACCUGCAGAAGCAGCUGCGGCUAACUACGUGCCAGCAGCCGCGGUAAUACGUAGGCAGCGAGCGUUGUUCGGAGUUACUGGGCGUAAAGGGUGUGUAGGCGGUUGUUUAAGUUUGGUGUGAAAUCUCCCGGCUCAACUGGGAGGGUGCGCCGAAUACUGAAUGACUAGAGUGCGGGAGAGGAGAGUGGAAUUCCUGGUGUAGCGGUGAAAUGCGUAGAUAUCAGGAGGAACACCGGCGGUGUAGACGGCUCUCUGGACCGUAACUGACGCUGAGACACGAAAGCGUGGGUAGCAAACA
Molecule: ribosomal RNA, 402 nt
Filed under: uncultured prokaryote
Description: bacterial SSU rRNA
Rfam family: Bacterial small subunit ribosomal RNA
Source: RNAcentral